AGCAGCCGCGGUAAUUCCAGCUCCAAUAGCGUAUAUUAAAGUUGUUGCAGUUAAAAGCUCGUAGUUGAAUUUCGGGGCUAGCAGGUCGGUCGUGCCAUUGGUAUGAACUGGUCUCGCUGAUCCCUCCCUCUUGACGAACUGUGAUGCCAUUAAUUUGGUGUCGCAGGGAAUCAGGACUGUUACUUUGAAAAAUUGAGUGUUUAAAGCAGGCUCACGCUUGAAUACAUUAGCAUGGAAUAAUGAAAUAGGACGUUUGAUCCUAUUUUGUUGGCUUCUAGGAUUGACGUAAUGAUUAAUAGGGAUAGUUGGGGGCAUUAGUAUUCAAUUGUCGGAGGUGAAAUUCUUGGA
This 348-nucleotide ribosomal RNA is filed under the name uncultured Glomeromycotina. RNAcentral's name for it is "SSU rRNA". It matches the Rfam family "Eukaryotic small subunit ribosomal RNA", at positions 569 to 924 of the family's 1831-position model. Lineage: Eukaryota; Fungi; Glomeromycota. The record is from RNAcentral.